GUGGUUGUCCAACACUAGACCGACCAACAAACCUGGCUCAAUCAUCGUUGGUUACAAUUGAAUAGUUUUCAUAGAACACAGAAUUCCAGUAGGUAGGGAAAAAAAAGAUUUUUUGUUUGUUUGUUUUGAACGUGAUUUUCACAAGCGCCAAAUGUGUGUAAGGAUAUGAAGACGCUGUUCAUUGGUUGAAGCCCUCGUCUCAGAAGCAAUCAGACGUCCCUUGUCCACUGGGGCUAAUGGUACUGAAACGGUAGUAGCUAGCAUUUUUAGGAGGGGUGGAUACAUUGACACAUUGUCUGGCAAUCUUGACAUACAAAGUGGAUGCCUCUAUGCCACAGCGAAAUAUACCUCUUCCAAUUUCCACAAGACUUCAGCCAUGGCCACGACAGGCACAGGCGCAACUGAGCCAAACCGGCCAGGCCCCCAGAGGAAGAUGUCCACCACAGGGGAAAGCUUGUACAAGGUGCUCGGCCUGGAGAAAGGAGCUUCCGCUGAGGACGUCAAGAGAGCCUACAGGAAACUAGCGUUGAAGUACCACCCAGACAAGAACCCAGACAACCCAGAGGCUGCAGAUAAGUUUAAAGAGAUCAACAACGCCAACUCCAUCCUGAACGAUGAUGGCAAGAGGAGGAUCUACGACGAGUACGGCUCCAUGGGCCUCUAUGUGUCCGAGCAGUUUGGAGAGGAGAGCGUUAAAUACUACUUCCUCAUGUCCAAGUGGUGGUUUAAGACCAUGGCCGUGUGCUGCACCGUCUUCUCCUGCUGCUGCUGCUGUUGCUGCUGCUGUUUCUGCUGUGGGAAGUGCAAGCCGCCGGAGGAGGAUGAUCACUACCAGUACGUGGACCCAGAGGACCUGGAGGCCCAGAUCAAAGCUGAGACGGACAGAGGCCAACAAGAAGCUCUUUGUUUUAUCCUCUCCCAUCAGUGGUCCCCAGAACAGGGACAGGGGCUGGGACAGAGGCGAGAUGAGGAAGAUGCAUGUAAUCCUGUCAGAUCUCAGAGGAUGCUCUCUGCCUCGGCCUCUUGUGUCGUGUCCUUAACUGGUUGGUCUGAGGACAGGACUCUCAGCUCCUUCACUCAUGUUGCCUCUUCACACAGCAGAUCACUCAAUAGAAAACAGUCCCAAGGACUAUACUCCUAAUUGUCUUGUUUUUUGUUCUGACGAGUGAUCAGUGACCAUGGUGACCCCAUAGUCACGACCCCUAGCCCAAGUGACUAUCACACCAUUUGAACUUUCAGUAUAAGGCUUUAUAAGCAAAAUGACGAUGCUAUUGGUUUCAGAGAUAUUCACAACAUGUUCAGGCGAAUACCUAGAUGAUAUGAAUAAUCUCCUCACCGUAUCACACAAAAACAAGAACUGCGCUUCAUUUACAGUAACUGAAAACCAAACCAAACAUGACAAGCUAACAGCCUCAGGGCAGUAUGAGUGUGGGGAUAACAUAUCAGUAUACUCUGGCCCAAUGAGUAGGCAUGGUUUAUCUCAUUCUGACAGAAAGGUGUUUCUGUACGUUUGUGUUUUCAUCCACCAGGUGACACAGUAAUCAUUGUGCAGCCCAUACCUGUAGCCGUACCUAUAGCUGUAACGAGUCCUGUGGCUGAGAGCAUCAGCCUAGGCCCUGCCAACUGCCUAGACCCUGCCAACAGCCUAGACCCUGCCAAUCCAGUGGUUGACAACCUGACCAGGCCAGUGGCUGCUGAGAACCCAGGCGAAACGUUGCCGGAGUCUAAAUGACUCGAAAGUGACAGUGUGGAUGAGCAUCGCCAGGGGAGGGCAGGUCCUCGUGCCCCUAUUGUGAUCCAGCCACAUUCCAUCGCCAUCGAGGUUCCAGAGACCUCCCAGCCUGCAGCCAGCCAGCCCACCUCCAAGCCGCAGCAGUGACCCUUCCCUCCCAGCCCCAUCUACCCGCUGGAGCCCUCCCCUACGGUGGGCAUGGCCAGGCCCCUGUGGCCACACAAUGGAGCCCCCAGCAGCCAGCCAGGCCAACCGUCACUAGUGCCAGUCAACCAGCCAGCUAGUCAACCCCCCCAUACUGUGGUACAGAUCUAACUUAAUGGACAUGAGCGGCAGGCUGCCAAGAGACCAGGACUCCUUCUGACAUGAUAUGUAUCUGUCUAUCCACCAAACUGAGGAUUGGAACACUCUAUCCCUCCAUUUCAUCCCUCCGUUUCUAUCCUCCCUCAUCUAUCCCCCCUUUCUCUCUCUUGUCUCUGUUAGAACGCUGUGGGAUUGGAGACUCUCUUUUUAAGUUCAGUCGGUGUUUUAAAUGGCCUGAGCCAAGCAUUCCACCUCCCUGGAGACUAAAGCAUGGAUCAGAGGAAGUAAAGGCUCCCAAACAGAUUGCAUGUGCUUCAUUUUAACUGCAUGCCCCUAUUGUACAGCACUGGCAAAUACAUCCACACCCCUGUACUACAGCCACCACCCCACCACUGCCAGCGAUACCGCCAGCUGCAGGUGCACCUACAGUAGUAUGCCACACAACCAGGGAUCUCCCCUCCACCGCCACCUGAAAGAGACCCAAGAGUGGGGCUGGAUACAGUAGAGAUUCAAGAACAGUGAAAAUGUUGGGAAAAUGUGUUGAUUGCUUAAUUUCAUUGCUAACUGUCACAAUUAUGUUAGUUUGACCAAAGCCAAACUAGAUGCCACUCACUCCAUGUGUUCAACAGUCAGCUCCCAAAGAGACGUUUCUCCUCAUGCCACUAGAGCUAACCUGAGAGGAUUGUUUAAUUGAGGUGCAUGUAUGUAUUUGGGUCUAUUAUGCACUUCUGAAACCUGUGAAGUGGGUAAAUGAUCAUUUCCAAUGGACUGUUGGCUAACAUGGGUCCAGCCAAGUGCUUACUGAAACGCACAGUCAGUACAAUGCACUCUGUAUUGGGUGGAACUGACUACUGACUACAGCUAGCUAACUGCAACCAAACGACUUAUCAAACGUUUCCCAUCUCAAAUGGUGGUUUUGCUUUGCAUUCUCCUCAUAGUCUGAUGUAACAUGGAGAUACAGGGGAGUGGGUAUGUACUGUAGGGGUCUGUUUGACCUAGCCACUAAAGACCAUGCUGUGCCACAUCCUAGAUGGCUGCUUUGUUCAUUGUACUGCCUACAGAGAUAUCCCAUCACUGAAUAUUUGAGAAGUAACACAACAGGCUGUUUUCCAUGGGGUUUUAGUGGACUGAUUGCCAUGUUUAUUGUUUAAUGGGCUGAAGAGGCACGACUACUAGUCUCAGUGAUGAGAUGAUACAAUGUCCCACAGCAGGGUUAGGAUCUGUAAAGAUCGCCCAACCAGCAGUUUAUCUGUACUUAAGUACAGCUCUCUUUAUAACCCUGGGGUGCAGUCAGAGGUUUCUCAAUGUUGUGUAAUCAGAAUAGUGAAAACAGUGAAGUGAAUGAAUGUCAUAUUGUCAUUGAGAGUCAGUCAGUCCCAGGUGUGCAUGUGUGUGUGUGUGUAGCAUUGUACAAAAUCGUUGUUGGUUUGUUCAUGUAGUGCUGAGGUCAGUCAGUCAUUCAUCCCCCUCCCAGUUUUUUUUUGUGGUUUGUAAUUUGAAAAGGGUGUUCUGUGUUUCCUGAAGAGGGGCUAGUACAUGGCCUUUAACCACCUUGUGUUUUGGCUGAAGAACCACCCUGAAGAUAAGCUAAACUAAAAUGAUGUCAUCAAAUGAUGUCAAGCAGCCAUUUUAUCUUUUGUAGCUCUCUCCUGGGUGUUUACAUAGAAAUGAUCUAUCAGCAGCAUCAUUUUGUUACUGGAAUUAUUGCACCUUUUCUCACCUCUUCAUAUCAAUAAGUUAACAGCUAAAACCCACCUGAAAUUUCAGACUGUUGGUUGUGUUUUCACAAACCAUAAUAAACAUAACAGUACAGUAUCUGGCCCCAGGGCUCAGAGAGGAGGAAUAUAUUUAUUCUGGUGAUCCUUAUCUGCUGUAAAUAAUAAUAAUCACAACCACUUGUCACAUGCAAAUAACAUUAUUUGAGAAUCCCUAUGAAUGGGAAAUGUUUUAAGAAUCAACCCCAUUUAAAUGAUUUUAUUUUUUUAUGUCAAACCGAAAGAGCUGUUUUAAUAAAACACGUUGACAGACAGUUGGGAAGAGCGAACCCUAGGCUAGCCAACGUGGUCCUUACCAAGGAGCAACUGGUUGACAGAGGAGCUAGGCUAUGUCUUAACUGGUUGACAGAGGAGCUAGGCUAUGUCUUAACUGGUUGACAGAAGAGCUAGGCUAUGUCUUAACUGGUUGACAGAGGAGCUAGGCUAUGUCUUAACUGGUUGACAGAGGAGCUAGGCUAUGUCUUAACUGGUUGACAGAGGAGCUAGGCUGUCUCAGCGGGUUGACAGAGGAGCUAGGCUGUCUCAGCGGGUUGACAGAGGAGCUAGGCUGUCUCAGCGGGUUGACAGAGGAGCUAAGCUGUCUCAGCGGGUUGACAGAGGAGCUAGGCUGUCUCAGCGGGUUGACAGAGGAGCUAGGCUGUCUCAGCGGGUUGACAGAGUAGCUAGGCUUUCUCAACUGGUUGACAGAGGAGCUAGGCUGUCUCAACUGGUUGACAGAGGAGCUAGGCUGUCUCAACUGGUUGACAGAGGAGCUAGGCUGUCUCAACUGGUUGACAGAGGAGCUAGGCUGUCUCAACUGGUUGACAGAGGAGCUAGGCUGUCUCAGCGGGUUGACAGAGGAGCUAGGCUGUCUCAGCGGGUUGACAGAGGAGCUAGGCUGUCUCAGCGGGUUGACAGAGGAGCUAGGCUGUCUCAGCGGGUUGACAGAGGAGCUAGGCUGUCUCAGCGGGUUGACAGAGGAGCUAGGCUGUCUCAGCGGGUUGACAGAGGAGCUAGGCUGUCUCAACUGGUUGACAGAGGAGCUAGGCUGUCUCAACUGGUUGACAGAGGAGCUAGGCUGUCUCAACUGGUUGACAGAGGAACUAGGCAAUGUCUUAACUGGCUAGGCCACCAUAGCUCUGGUCUACAGUAACAGGCAGGCAGACAGUAAGUGUAUAUCUGCUUUGAGUGUAAGGCCAGGGCUGUCCCCAUGUCAUCACUCCCCUAUAGAACAUGGGACUAUGGGGACUCGGCCACUAAUAAUAUGAUUGAUGAUUGUAAUUUUGUCAAUGCUUUCAUUAUGUCAUUCAUUAUUCACCAUGAUGUCGUUCAUGGACAAAAAUUAUCUGUAAAUGUGUAUUUAUAUAUAAUGAAAUUGAAACAAUUAAAAGGGGGAUUUGUACAAUGUU
Molecule: RNA transcript, 5198 nt
Organism: Oncorhynchus kisutch (coho salmon)
Lineage: Eukaryota; Metazoa; Chordata; Actinopteri; Salmoniformes; Salmonidae
Gene name: dnaJ homolog subfamily C member 5
Exons: 7
Source: RefSeq, a predicted model, not a curated record